AGGGCGUACAGUGGAUGCCUUGGCACCGAAAGACGAUGAAGGACGCGACUACCUGCGAUAAUCCUCGGCGAGCUGGAAGUAAGCUUUGACCCGAGGGUCUCCGAAUGGGGAAACCCGAUGCGCGUUAUGGCGCACCACCUGACCGGCCAAUACAUAACCGGCAGGAGACAACCCUGGGAAUUGAAACAUCUAAGUACCAGGAGGAAAAGAAAGAGAAUUCGAUUCCGUCAGUAGCGGCGAGCGAAAGCGGAAGAGCCUAAACCACCUUGAGUGGGGUUCGGGAUCACAUCAGUAUAAGUAGACACAAGGAGAAUUACCUGGAAUGGUAAGCCAAAGAGGGUGAAAGCCCCGUACCUGUAAAAAUGCUACUUGUCGUGAUUUCCAGAGUACGGCGGGACACGUGAAAUCCUGUCGGAAUGUGCGGAGACCACUCCGUAAGGCUAAAUACUCUUCGGUGACCGAUAGUGAACCAGUACCGUGAGGGAAAGGUGAAAAGAACCCCGGGAGGGGAGUGAAAAGAAUCUGAAACCGUAUGCCUACAAAAAGUCAGAGGGCGUUAAAGCCUGAUGACGUGCCUAUUGAAGAAUGAGCCGGCGAGUUAUGAACACAUGCGAGGUUAAGGAGAAGAUCCGGAGCCGAAGCGAAAGCGAGUCUUAACAGGGCGACAGUAUGUGUUUGUAGACCCGAAACCCGACGAUCUAGCCAUGAUCAGGAUGAAGUAAGGGUAAAACCUUAUGGAGGUCCGAACCGACGUUCGUUGAAACGCCCGCGGAUGAAUUGUGGCUCGUGGUGAAAUUCCAAUCGAGUCGGGUAAUAGCUGGUUCUCCCCGAAAUAGCUUUAGGGCUAGCCUUGGGACAUUGUUUAGUGGGGGUAAAGCACUGAAUAUGAGCGAGCCGCGCCAAGCGGUAUCAAUCAUAAUCAAACUCUGAAUCCCAUUAGAUGUACCCCAGGAGUCAGACUACGGGAGAUAAGUUCCGUGGUCAAGAGGGCAACAGCCCAGACCGCCGAUUAAGGUCCCUAAAUUCACGCUAAGUGUCAAAGGAUGUAGAGAUACUCAAACAGCUAGGAUGUUGGCUCAGAGGCAGCCAUCAUUUAAAGAAUGCGUAACAGCUCACUAGUCAAGUGUCUCCGCGCCGAAAAUUUACCGGGGCUAAGCGUGAUACCGAAAUCGCGGAUGAAUCCUAAAAAUUCGUGGUAGGGGAGCGUUCUGUUUGCAGUGAAGCCAUAUCGUGAGGAGUGGUGGAGCGUACAGAAGCGAGAAUGCCGGCGUAAGUAACGAUAAAGGGUGAGAAUCCCUUUCACCAAUUGACUAAGGUUUCCUGGGCAAGGUUCGUCCUCCCAGGGUUAGUCGGGACCUAAGGCGAGGCCGACAGGCGUAGUCGAUGGACAGCAGGUUGAUAUUCCUGCACCCGAGCACGCAGUGAUGCAAUGACGAAAACGGCUAUGCUCACCUCCGAUCGGAAGUGGAGGGCAGAGCGUAGGAGUCGAUUCCUUGUUAAGUACGGGAAUCAUUAAGACAAAGACGUGCGGUAUGAAAGUCGCGAGACGAGUAAGAAACAGCAGACGCCGAUUUCCAAGAAAAGUUGCUAACGUUAAACGUGUUCGGCCCGUACCGAGAACGGACACACGUGGUCAAGGAGAAUAUCCUGAGGUGAGCGAGAUAACUGUUGUUAAGGAACUCUGCAAAAUAACUUCGUAAGUUAGCAAGAAGAAGUGCUCCAGCGAUGGAGCCGCAGCGAAUCGGCCCAAGUAACUGUUUACCAAAAACACAGCUCUAUGCUAAGUCGCAAGACGAUGUAUAUGGGGUGACGCCUGCCCGGUGCCGGAAGGUUAAAAGGAGAGGUUAGGAGCAAUCCGAAGCUUUGAAUUGAAGCCCCGGUGAACGGCGGCCGUAACUAUAACGGUCCUAAGGUAGCGAAAUUCCUUGUCAGGUAAGUUCUGACGUGCACGAAUGGUGUAAUAAUUUGGGCGCUGUCUCGACAGCAGACUCGGUGAAAUCUUAAUACCGGUGAAGAUGCCGGUUACCCGCGACUAGACGGAAAGACCCCAUGGAGCUUUACUAUAACUUAAUAUUGAGUAAAUGCGAAUCUUGUACAGUAUAGGUGGGAGACUUUGAAGUCGGGGCGUCAGCUUCGAUGGAGUCGCCGUUGGGAUACCACUCUGGAUUUGCAUUUAUUCUAACUCCUACCCUGGAUGGGCGGGAGGACAGUGUUAGGCGGGUAGUUUGGCUGGGGCGGCCGCCUC
This 2245-nucleotide ribosomal RNA is filed under the name human gut metagenome. Its description in RNAcentral is "bacterial LSU rRNA". It matches the Rfam family "Bacterial large subunit ribosomal RNA", at positions 14 to 2289 of the family's 2925-position model. The record is from RNAcentral.